GCGCCGUUAGCUCAAUUGGCAGAGCAGGUGGCUCUUAACCACAAGGUUAUAGGUUCGAUUCCUAUACGGCGCACAA
RNAcentral lists this transfer RNA (76 nucleotides) under Candidatus Kuenenbacteria bacterium CG22_combo_CG10-13_8_21_14_all_39_9. Its description in RNAcentral is "tRNA-Lys". It matches the Rfam family "tRNA". Rfam says of the family: Transfer RNA (tRNA) molecules are approximately 80 nucleotides in length. Their secondary structure includes four short double-helical elements and three loops (D, anti-codon, and T loops). Further hydrogen bonds mediate the characteristic L-shaped molecular structure. tRNAs have two regions of fundamental functional importance: the anti-codon, which is responsible for specific mRNA codon recognition, and the 3' end, to which the tRNAs corresponding amino acid is attached (by aminoacyl-tRNA synthetases). tRNAs cope with the degeneracy of the genetic code in two manners: having more than one tRNA (with a specific anti-codon) for a particular amino acid; and 'wobble' base-pairing, i.e. permitting non-standard base-pairing at the 3rd anti-codon position. Lineage: Bacteria; Candidatus Kueneniibacteriota. The record is from RNAcentral.